GUGGCGGACGGGUGAGUAAUGUAUAGUUAAUCUGCCCUUAGAGAGGAAUAACUACUGGAAACGGUAGCUAAUACCUCAUACUCCUUUAAUCUUAAUGGUUAUUGGGAAACGUUUUUUCGCUAAAGGAUGAGACUAUAUGGUAUCAGGUAGUUGGUGGGGUAAGAGCCUACCAAGCCAAUGACGCCUAGCUGGUCUGAGAGGAUGAUCAGCCACACUGGAACUGAGACACGGUCCAGACUCCUACGGGAGGCAGCAGUGGGGAAUAUUGCACAAUGGAGGAAACUCUGAUGCAGCAACGCCGCGUGGAGGAUGACACAUUUCGGUGCGUAAACUCCUUUUAUAUGGGAAGAUAAUGACAGUACCAUAUGAAUCAGCACCGGCUAACUCCGUGCCAGCAGCCGCGGUAAUACUGAGGGUGCCAGCGUUACUCGGAAUCACUGCGCGUAGAGCGCGCGCGGCGGCUAUUUCACUUGGAUGUGAAAAGCACACGGCUCCACCGUAGAAGUGCAUGAAAACUAUUUAAAUAAAGUGUGGGUAGGAAGAUGGAAUUACUUGU
RNAcentral lists this ribosomal RNA (556 nucleotides) under uncultured Pseudomonadota bacterium. Its description in RNAcentral is "bacterial SSU rRNA". It matches the Rfam family "Bacterial small subunit ribosomal RNA", at positions 95 to 674 of the family's 1533-position model. Lineage: Bacteria; Pseudomonadati; Pseudomonadota. The record is from RNAcentral.